UACGAGAGGUGCAAGCGUUGUUCGGAAUCAUUGGGCGUAAAGCGCACGUAGGCGGGUUCGUAUGUCGAUUGUGAAAGCCCCGGGCUCAACCUGGGAAUUGCAGCCGAAACUGCGAAUCUUGAAUACCUGAGAGGGUGGGAGAAUUCCUGGUGGAGUAGUGAAAUACGUAGAGAUCAGGAGGAAUACCGGAGGCGAAGGCGCCUGCCUGGCAGUGUAUUGACGCUGAGGUGCGAAAGCGUGGGGAGCAAACAGG
RNAcentral lists this unclassified non-coding RNA (253 nucleotides) under uncultured Oligoflexaceae bacterium. RNAcentral describes it as "contains 16S-23S intergenic spacer region". It matches the Rfam family "Bacterial small subunit ribosomal RNA", at positions 524 to 776 of the family's 1533-position model. Lineage: Bacteria; Pseudomonadati; Bdellovibrionota; Oligoflexia; Oligoflexales; Oligoflexaceae. The record is from RNAcentral.